RNAcentral lists this ribosomal RNA (433 nucleotides) under uncultured bacterium. Its description in RNAcentral is "partial 16S ribosomal RNA". It matches the Rfam family "Bacterial small subunit ribosomal RNA", at positions 29 to 507 of the family's 1533-position model. The record is from RNAcentral.
AACGAACGCUGGCGGCAUGCCUAACACAUGCAAGUCGAACGAGACCUUCGGGUCUAGUGGCGCACGGGUGCGUAACGCGUGGGAACCUGCCCUUAGGUUCGGAAUAACUCCCCGAAAGGGGUGCUAAUACCGGAUAAUGUCUUCGGACCAAAGAUUUAUCGCCUUUGGAUGGGCCCGCGUUGGAUUAGCUAGUUGGUAGGGUAAAAGCCUACCAAGGCGACGAUCCAUAGCUGGUCUGAGAGGAUGAUCAGCCACACUGGGACUGAGACACGGCCCAGACUCCUACGGGAGGCAGCAGUGGGGAAUAUUGGACAAUGGGCGAAAGCCUGAUCCAGCAAUGCCGCGUGAGUGAUGAAGGCCUUAGGGUUGUAAAGCUCUUUUACCCGGGAUGAUAAUGACAGUACCGGGAGAAUAAGCGCCGGCUAAUUCCGUG